Molecule: long non-coding RNA, 577 nt
Filed under: Homo sapiens (human)
Lineage: Eukaryota; Metazoa; Chordata; Mammalia; Primates; Hominidae
Description: HSALNT0401487
Source: RNAcentral
ACAUGCAUAUGUUGAAGCUAGAGGCACUGGAGUGAUGGAUUCUGCCUAGGGCAAGACAGGACUUGAUUCUUGCUGGAGGAGCCAUCUGAGUUUGUGAAGGGCAAGGAGAGUGCAUGGGCCGAGAAAGGUGCUCCCAGGAGUGAUCCCUAAGGCAGCCAACAGUACCCCACUGUGCAGAUAAGAGAAAGAAACCGACGCAAAGGAAGUCUUCCUAACCAAAUUCCAUAGUGUAAAAAGCAAUGAUUUGGAAAUUGGAAGGCCUGGACUCUGACUUGGGGUCUGGAAUUCUCUCUCCAGGUGACCUUGGAAGCUGCAUGAAGACAGGGGUCUCAUCUGCCUUGGACAUCACUGAAUCCUAUGCACGGAGCACAAUGCCUGGAACGGGAGGAGCUCAAUGGUUACUGGUUGAAUUAAUACACUGAGGAAAUGGAUCAGCUGUAGACAACCUUACUUUGUUCUCUCAUAUCUCUUUCCCACCUGCUGGCCCUGCCUUUCCAUUUAAAUCCAGAGCCAAGCACACAUUCCUUACUAUAUAUUUUUUUGUACUGAUUAAAAUGUUUCAUAAACUUUUACCACA